RNAcentral lists this ribosomal RNA (460 nucleotides) under uncultured bacterium. RNAcentral describes it as "partial 16S ribosomal RNA". It matches the Rfam family "Bacterial small subunit ribosomal RNA", at positions 338 to 795 of the family's 1533-position model. The record is from RNAcentral.
CCUACGGGUGGCAGCAGUGAGGAAUAUUGGUCAAUGGACGAAAGUCUGAACCAGCCAAGUAGCGUGAAGGAUGACUGCCCUAUGGGUUGUAAGCUUCUUUUAUGUGGGAAUAAAAUGUUCCACGUGUGGGAUUUUGUAUGUACCAUAUGAGUAGAAAUAGGCUAACUCCAUGCCAGCAGCCGAGGUAAUACGGAGGCUCCGAGCGUUAUCCGGAUUUAUUGGGUUUAAAGGGAGCGUAGGUGGAUUGUUAAGUCAGUUGUGAAAGUCUGCGGCUCAACCGGAAAACUGCAGUGGAAACUGGCAGUCUUGAGUACAGUAGAGGUGAGCGGAAUUCGUGGUGUAGCGGUGAAAUGCGUAGAUAUCAGGAAGAACUCCGAUGGCGAAGGCAGCUCACUGGACUGCAACUGACACUGAGGCUCGAAAGCGUGGGGAGCAAACAGGAUUAGAUACCCGUGUAGUC